AAUCCAUAGGUUAAUGAGGCGAACCGGGGGAACUGAAACAUCUAAGUACCCCGAGGAAAAGAAAUCAACCGAGAUUCCCCCAGUAGCGGCGAGCGAACGGGGAGGAGCCCAGAGCCUGAAUCAGCAUGUGUGUUAGUGGAAGCGUCUGGAAAGGCGCGCGAUACAGGGUGACAGCCCCGUACACAAAAGCGCAUGUGCUGUGAGCUCGAUGAGUAGGGCGGGACACGUGGUAUCCUGUCUGAAUAUGGGGGGACCAUCCUCCAAGGCUAAAUACUCCUGACUGACCGAUAGUGAACCAGUACCGUGAGGGAAAGGCGAAAAGAACCCCGGCGAGGGGAGUGAAAAAGAACCUGAAACCGUGUACGUACAAGCAGUGGGAGCCCCACCACUAAGCCAGU
RNAcentral lists this ribosomal RNA (398 nucleotides) under Salmonella enterica. RNAcentral's name for it is "partial 23S ribosomal RNA". It matches the Rfam family "Bacterial large subunit ribosomal RNA", at positions 161 to 584 of the family's 2925-position model. RNAcentral also lists the same sequence under 2 other names. Lineage: Bacteria; Pseudomonadati; Pseudomonadota; Gammaproteobacteria; Enterobacterales; Enterobacteriaceae. The record is from RNAcentral.